RNA transcript from Panicum hallii, 1208 nucleotides. It is a transcript of the gene named B3 domain-containing protein Os06g0194400-like, with no coding region annotated. Lineage: Eukaryota; Viridiplantae; Streptophyta; Magnoliopsida; Poales; Poaceae. The record is from RefSeq and is a predicted model, not a curated record. The transcript is spliced from 8 exons.
GCUCCCAAAGAAAUCGGGAUGGGGACGGCACAGCGGAAGGAGAUGGCGGACGCGGUGUCGUACGAGGAGCAGCGGCGGAGGCAGGUGGAGGCGAACAAGCGCAAGCUCGAGGAGCUCCAGCUCCACCACCUCUCCGCCGCAGUCAGAGAGGCCGCCGCCAAGCCCUCGCCGGCCAAGAAGCGGAAGGCUCGGGUGCCGCGGGACGCCGCCGCGGAGCCGCUCCGGCGGUCCGGCCGCGUCGCCAACCUCCCGGAGAAGCCCAAGUACCGCGAGGAGGUUCAGGAUUUCGGAAGGAAGGUUAGAAGGACGUACGGCUCGAGGAGGAAGGACCUGGCGAACCGGGUGUACGCGACCGACGAGGAGCGGAGCCACGCCAUCACGAAGGCCGAGGAGCUGGCCGACGAGCUGGGCUCCAGCUUCCCCCUUUUCGUGAAACCCAUGACCCAGUCCCAUGUCACCGGAGGCUUCUGGCUGGGCCUCCCGACCCCGUUCUGCCGGAAGUACCUGCCCAAGCGUGACGAGACAAUCACGCUGGAGGAUGAGGAGGAUGACGAGUCCGAGACGCUCUACCUCACCAGGAAGAUGGGCCUCAGUGCUGGAUGGAGAGGAUUCGCCAUUGAGCACAAGCUGGUCGAUGGAGAUUGCUUGGUCUUCCAGUUGAUCGAGCGCACAAAGUUCAAGGUCUACAUGAUACGAGCAAGUUCCUACCACGAAGAUGAGGAGUGAUGAAACUAGUAGCUUCUAAUAUGGUGAUUGGAGCACAGACAUUCAGCUCAUCAACAAAUUUAACCCUUAUCAUGCCAGUUCCAUUUGUGAAAAUAAUAGAUGCUCUGAUGAUUAUCUGAACUGUGGUAAAGCUUUUUUGGUGGGGACAGCCAGAUUUUCCUUGCCCUUUUGUUCCAGAAACAUUUCAUCGAUAUUUGAACUCUGUGACCCACAUUUCUUUCGUAGCUCUGGUGACGGUUGCACUGCACAAAACCAGUGUGAGCAGGAUGGAACAAGCUCGCAUGUGGAGAUUGCUGGGCAUCUUCAACCUUUUGGCUGGCGAAAACACUGAUGUUCUCCCAGUUGCUAAUUUGUGGACUUGGGAUUUCGACUUGCAUGGUUCAGAAACCUGCACUAUGUAAGGGGAGGUGAAUGGCAACUAACGUUAUUUUGUAAAUUGAUGCCCGUCCUGGCUCCUGUUGGGGUCCAUUUCUCUGCUUGAA